AUCAACCCUGGUUUAGUCAC
RNAcentral lists this small nuclear RNA (20 nucleotides) under Arabidopsis thaliana (thale cress). Its description in RNAcentral is "snRNA_19192". Lineage: Eukaryota; Viridiplantae; Streptophyta; Magnoliopsida; Brassicales; Brassicaceae. The record is from RNAcentral.